UUUGACAAAGUAUGUAGCUUGUCCACAUGACUUAACCUCUUCAUAUGAUUCCCUCAUCUUUAACAUGGGGGUAGUGACAGUCCCACAGCACUGUUAAAACUCCUUGGGGCUUGAAACCUCGUCUCUUCACAUGCCACAAACACCCAUUUGCUGUUAAACCUCGUCUUCAGGAUGCUCAGCCGCCUCUCAAGGACUCACUGGCUGGGAAAGGACAGGAUGUGACCAGUCCCUGGGCUGGUGAACUUUUGGGCACAGACUUCGCCCCCGAGCCUCAGAUCCCAUCUCUAGUGUGGAUGGAGCCCUGUAGCACUGGCAGGGCCAUCCCGGGGGUCUGCAGCCACCGCCGCCUGCUCUCCCAGCGCUCACAGCAUCAGGAGCUGGAAUCUCACCCCUCCUUCCCCAGUGUGAGGACCACCAGCCAAUGCUGCGUCAGGGGCCUGGACAUCCAGAGGGGUUUUCCCACUAUGUGCAUUCUGCUUUCAAAGAAGGAAACGCGGGCAGAUCCACACAGUGUUUUUUCAACCUGACGGUUAAACGUGUUUUUUCUCACAAUCUCAGAUAAGCACCUGGAGCUGCAUCGUCUGAGGCUGUCACUUAGAGAACUACUUGCUAGCUAAUUAUAAGUCAAUACCCCAACGUCACCAACUGCUAACCAGCCAUCAGAUGUCAGCGAGGAGACCUGAUUUAGCCUUUUCAUAUUCCCCGGGAGAGCAAAGGAACAAGGAGUUAGGGGAAAACGCUAGAAACAGGAACGACAUAUCAUUAAAUAAAGCUGUGACCAGCCUUCAGCGCUGCCAGCUUCUCUGAACGGGCCACACCCACGCUCUCAUUAACCUCGGGAAGCUGAAAGCAGCUUGUCCAGAGAGGUGCUGGGCAUGUAGUUGGAACCGCUGCCGUAAUGAACAAGGCAGCACCACCUAGCCCAAAUCUUUCUCUCUGACUUCACUCUUCAGCCGUGCUCGAGUGUAAAUAGACUUGUUUACCAAGUCCAGAAUGCGGAUGGCAAUGAAGUCUUAUUUGCGACACUGCAGUGACAAGGCUUUGUGCACAGUGGCACUCGGGAGAGUGGAAAAAAUAACCAGAGACUGUAUUUCUGGUCAAUGGUGGCCAUGCAGAUGUCUU
Molecule: non-coding RNA, 1122 nt
Organism: Odocoileus virginianus texanus
Lineage: Eukaryota; Metazoa; Chordata; Mammalia; Artiodactyla; Cervidae
Source: RefSeq, a predicted model, not a curated record